GUAAAUAUUGCCCUAGUGGGAACUAUCUUUGGUGGCCUUCACCCCUCAGUUCUUCUGGGCAUUGCCCUAGUGGAGACACUCUGUGGCAGCCCCACCCCUGCAGCAAGUCUCUGCCAAGCCCCCGAGGCUAUCUGAAAUAUCCUGUGAAAUCUAGGUGGAAGUAAAGAUGCCCCCACAGUUCUUGCACUCUGCGAACCUGCAGAAUUAGCACCAACAGGACACUGCCAAGGUUUAUGACUUGUGCCUUCUGGAGCAGCAGCCUAAGCCACACAUGCACCUGCUUGAACCACAGCUGGGGCAGCUGAGGAGAGCUGCACCAGAAUUUGGGGAAUAGGGACUUCAGACAGCCCUGGGCCAUUGGGAGACACACUUCUGAACACCACCACUGGAAAAUCACACAUGCUGAAAUGGGAGAGUUCCCUGACCCCCUUGCAGGAUAUGUGACAGGAGUGUGGCUCAUCUGUUCAGCUGGAGUGCAUACUCAAACCCCUUAUGAGACAAGGAGUAUGCAGACAGAAGGUGCAGGAACUGGGAAGCAAAAUAUAAACUAGUUAAUUUGAUCUCCAAGAGUUAAGCGGUUUUAAUAUUACUGACAGUAAUAUCAGCAGUGGUGUUGGAACCCCAUGAUCUCAUGAAUCAUAGAUAGCAACUGCUUACUGGACAUUGAAGCUUUAUGGCCAGCUGCCAAAAAAAUAAAUGCACCUUAAUUUUUAAAUUGAAUUAUAAAGCCAAAAAUAUCCUAUUGCUCUAUUCCUCUUAUUUUGGUGUUUACAUGUGACUUUAUAAUUUCCUUCACUUGAAAGAUUUUAACUUUAAAGGAAACUUUACUCUGAACGUUUAGGACAAUUCAUAGAUAAUCAAAUUGAUUAUCAUGUUUUCAAUGUUAAAUAUUACUUCAUAUGUCUUUUUACAACCUUCAGAAUAAGAAAGCCAGCUAUGAAAUACCAAGUCUUGACUAGUAGUGCCACCUAGCAUCACAAAGAAAAAGUUGUUCAACUACUUUGCAAAGCAUUGGAAAUUUAUCAAAUCAUCUAAUAUACUAUCUCCUUGAUCCUUAAUCCAGAGGAAAAUAAGCAGACAUGAUCAAUUAGAAGAAAUGUACACAAAACCUAUGUAAUUUUAGAGAUAGUAUACUACAUAUUAUGAAUGUUUGUGUUUUAGUAAGAUGUAGUUAUGAGAUGUAGCAGUAAGAUAUAAUUUCUGGUUUGCUGACUGAUAUGCUACCGGUUUUUCCUACAAUUUAAGAAAACAUAUUGGGAUUCAAAUGAAUAAAAAUAAUGUUUGUGUACUGAAAUAUUGGCUAUGACCUAAUUUAUAGAAUAAAAAGUAAGUCAUUCACAACUAUCAGUAUUUUGAAUAAUGUGGCAACCAACAACUGAUUGAGAUUUGUUAGUGUUUUGAGUAAUGAAUUUAGAAACUUUGGAAUAUAAUAUAAUGCUAACAAAGAUAUCACAGGCUCAAUCCUGGAUGGAACUGAGGACAGCUAUUCCAACCAUCUCAGUUAAGAUGCUUCUUAUUGGCGAUAAGUGAAUAAUAAGAGAGUAGAUGGCUCAUACCAGACCUAUUUCUCUCACAAUUCAAAUAGACUUAGCUGUGAGAUAGGGCAAGUCCUCAAAUAACACCAUUUCAUUCAAAGUCAUUUUAUGAUCACUUUGAUGAGAAGAAAAUCACUAAUUCUUGGUCAUGGCCACUGUCUGUGUGGAGUCUACAUGUUCUCUGCAUGUGUACAUGGGUUUUCUCUGGGUAGUUUGGUUUCCUUCCACAUCCCAAGGAAGUUCACAUGAGGUUCACUGGUGUGUCUAAAUGGUUCCAAUGUGAGUGAGUGUUGGGGUGUGUGUGGGUGCCCCCUGCAGUGAGAUAG
RNAcentral lists this long non-coding RNA (1861 nucleotides) under Homo sapiens (human). RNAcentral's name for it is "HSALNT0087336". The record is from RNAcentral. Lineage: Eukaryota; Metazoa; Chordata; Mammalia; Primates; Hominidae.